GGGGUGGAGGUGGAGUUUAGUGUAACAGCCAAUAGAAAUAGGAAAACUCAAGGGGGCGGUGCUUGGGCGUGGCUCGAAGGCCCUCCCAACCUCUUUAAAAGGAGCGCACCCACCGGGGUCCAGGGUACAAAUGGGAGUCUCUCUUCUCAGCACCCUCUGCGUUUGGAGCAACCUUUGAAGGAAUUCGAGAAGCUUUGCAUUAUUCACACCUUGACCAAAAGGACCACUCAGUACUGUCCUCAAGAAACGGAUUUUCAGUAAACUUUUUCAAGACCCAAAGACUGGAGCAUGGGGCAUGGUGGCACAUUUUCAUAAGGCAUCAGACAGGUUUGCUCCCCACCAUUACAGAAAACCAUAAAGCUCAUUUGAAGAAGACUUGA
Molecule: long non-coding RNA, 380 nt
Filed under: Phascolarctos cinereus (koala)
Lineage: Eukaryota; Metazoa; Chordata; Mammalia; Diprotodontia; Phascolarctidae
Description: lncRNA (ENSPCIG00000004844.2)
Source: RNAcentral